Molecule: long non-coding RNA, 258 nt
Organism: Oncorhynchus nerka (sockeye salmon)
Lineage: Eukaryota; Metazoa; Chordata; Actinopteri; Salmoniformes; Salmonidae
Exons: 3
Source: RefSeq, a predicted model, not a curated record
UUGAUGGGUUUCGAAAGCAUUUGAGGGUGAAAAGUAAAGAUUAAGAAAAUAAAUUAUGCAGGAGCAAGUAGCAAGAAAGCAAACCAAGGUUACCAGAGUGAGGAGCGACAUUUUCGGAAUAAACGUGGUACCUGUUGAAGUUUGGCACUGUCAGACCCUACCUGGGCUACAACACUAUGCAGGACUUCUUUUCCACUAUGGCCACUGCAGGCCAACCCCACGUGUGAUGACCGCCACUGCAGAAAACAGCAGGACAGC